UCUGUGUGCUCCAAGAUGACUCAGCCAGCUUUCCCUUCAAGUCAUUUAUGCCUCAAAUCCCAUCCUGAGGGGUCCAGAGGCAGGCACUGAGCUGCUACCACAGAGGCACUGAGCUUCUCCGUGCCGGUAACACCCACUGACGCCAUUUUGUUUUCCCGCCACAGGAGGGCUGCCUCUCAGGCCAGGCCCUCACCCCACAGCCUCCCCAGAUCCGUGUGCGUUGGGGAGAGGGGUUGCAUCUCACCUCACAUACCGUAUAUUCAAAUAUAUAUCAAUGUAUGGGUAUGACAUAGUUGUGAGAGAUUGCUGCCAGGCUCUGGGAUUUGUAUGUGGUUGAUUUCAGAGGCAUUGUCAUCGUGACAGCUGGGGAAGGCUCUGGGGAAGCCAAGCUUGGAGGGGAGAGCUUAAAAAGAAGACAAGGCAGAGCAAGUAGUCCAGCCUGACACAUCAUUGGCUUUGUGCUCAACUAAAUGAAGUCAGAAUUCAGACCUCUUAUAGCAGAGCAUUGUGGAGGGGUUCUUU
Molecule: long non-coding RNA, 522 nt
Filed under: Gallus gallus (chicken)
Lineage: Eukaryota; Metazoa; Chordata; Aves; Galliformes; Phasianidae
Description: long non-coding RNA NONGGAT003436
Source: RNAcentral